Molecule: non-coding RNA, 115 nt
Organism: Podarcis lilfordi (Lilford's wall lizard)
Lineage: Eukaryota; Metazoa; Chordata; Lepidosauria; Squamata; Lacertidae
Source: the annotation of a GenBank genome assembly
CUCUAUUACCACAGAAGAGGUAUAGCAGAAACAGGGGCAGAGCAAACGUGUUAUGCACUGUCCUUACAACAUGUCUCAGUUUUGAUGGGUGGACCACCUCUCCAAAGGUUAUAAG